CAAAGUAUAUAGAUACCAAUGGUCCAGCUGGACAAGCAGAACUAUCAUCACUGCUUCACCCAAGGAACAAUCUUGCAUUGCUUCUCUUUUAUUUAUUUAUUCUGUGUGAGUAGCCCCGCUGAGGAAUAGAACGAAAUGUAUGGCUGGAUUAUUUGCAAGACAGAGGCACCAAACCUUGUGUAAGUCAAUGCUUUAGCAAGAUAGAUGAUUAUGGAGAAAAUAUGUAAGAGGUCGGUCAUACUUGAAGUGACGUCAAGGUCCGGUAUUUAUAGUCGUUCAGUUGAUUAAUGAUUAAUUGAUGUAAUGUCUCCUAUUUAUUAAAGACGGUUAUCAACUCAUUUUUCAUACACGUCUACUAGUUGUUAGAAGCUUCUCCUUUUAGAGAGAUGAAUCUUUUUUAAGCCACAUUAUUAUUAGGUUUUUUGAGCUUAAAUGUAGUAAUUUAUCAUAUUUAAUAAAUUACUCUAUUGAUUACUUA
This 478-nucleotide long non-coding RNA is filed under the name Gossypium barbadense (sea-island cotton). RNAcentral describes it as "long non-coding RNA (GBAR_LNC014989)". The record is from RNAcentral. Lineage: Eukaryota; Viridiplantae; Streptophyta; Magnoliopsida; Malvales; Malvaceae.